This 496-nucleotide ribosomal RNA is filed under the name uncultured bacterium. RNAcentral describes it as "partial 16S ribosomal RNA". It matches the Rfam family "Bacterial small subunit ribosomal RNA", at positions 28 to 506 of the family's 1533-position model. The record is from RNAcentral.
GAUGAACGCUGGCGGCGUGCCUAAUACAUGCAAGUCGAGCGAACAGACGAGGAGCUUGCUCCUCUGACGUUAGCGGCGGACGGGUGAGUAACACGUGGAUAACCUACCUAUAAGACUGGGAUAACUUCGGGAAACCGGAGCUAAUACCGGAUAAUAUAUUGAACCGCAUGGUUCAAUAGUGAAAGACGGUUUUGCUGUCACUUAUAGAUGGAUCCGCGCCGCAUUAGCUAGUUGGUAAGGUAACGGCUUACCAAGGCAACGAUGCGUAGCCGACCUGAGAGGAGGAUCGGCAGCGCUGGAGCUGAGACACGGUCCAGACGCCGACGGGAGGCAGCAGUAGGGAAUCUUCCGCAAUGGGCGAAAGCCUGACGGAGCAACGCCGCGUGAGUGAUGAAGGGCUUCGGAUCGUAAAACGCUGUUAUUAGGGAAGAACAAAUGUGUAAGUAACUAUGCACGUCUUGACGGUACCGAAGCAGAAAGCCACGGCUAACUACGU